RNAcentral lists this unclassified non-coding RNA (405 nucleotides) under soil metagenome. Its description in RNAcentral is "partial contains 5.8S ribosomal RNA, internal transcribed spacer 2, and large subunit ribosomal RNA". The stretch from base 2 to 120 matches the Rfam family "5.8S ribosomal RNA", at positions 37 to 154 of the family's 154-position model. The record is from RNAcentral.
GUGAAGAACGUAGCGAAAUGCGAUAAGUAAUGUGAAUUGCAGAAUUCAGUGAAUCAUCGAAUCUUUGAACGCACCUUGCGCCCUUUGGCCAUUCCGAAGGGCAUGCCUGUUUGAGUAUCAUGAACACCUCAACUCUUCAUGGUUUUCCAUGAUGAGCUUGGACUUUGGGGGUCUUGCUGGCCUGUGGGUCGGCUCCUCUCAAAUGAAUCAGCUUGCCGGUUUUUGGUGGGCAUCACAGGUGUGAUAACUAUCUACGCUUGUGGUUUUCCACCAGGGUAACCUUCAGCAGUGGAGGUUCACUGGAGCUUACAAAUGUCUCUCCUCUGUGAGGACAGCCCUUUGAAUGUUUGAUCUCAAAUCAGGUAGGACUACCCGCUGAACUUAAGCAUAUCAAUAAGCGGAGGA